RNAcentral lists this transfer RNA (62 nucleotides) under Podarcis lilfordi (Lilford's wall lizard). RNAcentral describes it as "tRNA.Undet". Lineage: Eukaryota; Metazoa; Chordata; Lepidosauria; Squamata; Lacertidae. The record is from RNAcentral.
GCCAGGGUGGUGCAGUAUUGGUCUAGGACCUGGAGACCAGGGUUCGAAUCCUUGCUCCGGCA